GAGAUCCUCCAGCGUGUUAUUUUCACGAGUGAAGGCAUCGGCGCCGGAUAGCGUGGCUUAUACCAAGUUCCUCACCAUCCAAGUAGGGUAACCAUUGAAGUAGAUAAAUGUAACAGCCAAUUUGUGUAAAGCCAGGAGAUAAAUGGCCAA
Mobula hypostoma (lesser devil ray) is the source of this 150-nucleotide long non-coding RNA. RefSeq lists it as uncharacterized. The record is from RefSeq and is a predicted model, not a curated record. The transcript has 3 exons. NCBI's taxonomy places the organism in Eukaryota, Metazoa, Chordata, Chondrichthyes, Myliobatiformes, Myliobatidae.